UACGGGGGGGGCAAGCGUUGUUCGGAAUUACUGGGCGUAAAGCGCACGUAGGCGGCUUUGUAAGUUAGAGGUGAAAGCCCAGGGCUCAACCCUGGAAUUGCCUUUAAGACUGCAUCGCUAGAAUUGUGGAGAGGUAAGUGGAAUUCCGAGUGUAGAGGUGAAAUUCGUAGAUAUUCGGAAGAACACCAGUGGCGAAGGCGACUUACUGGACACAUAUUGACGCUGAGGUGCGAAAGCGUGGGGAGCAAACAGG
RNAcentral lists this ribosomal RNA (253 nucleotides) under uncultured bacterium. RNAcentral's name for it is "partial 16S ribosomal RNA". It matches the Rfam family "Bacterial small subunit ribosomal RNA", at positions 524 to 776 of the family's 1533-position model. The record is from RNAcentral.